Molecule: ribosomal RNA, 450 nt
Filed under: uncultured bacterium
Lineage: Bacteria
Description: bacterial SSU rRNA
Rfam family: Bacterial small subunit ribosomal RNA
Source: RNAcentral
GUGGGGAAUAUUGGACAAUGGGCGAAAGCCUGAUCCAGCCAUGCCGCGUGUGUGAAGAAGGUCUUCGGAUUGUAAAGCACUUUAAGUUGGGAGGAAGGGCAGUAAGUUAAUACCUUGCUGUUUUGACGUUACCGACAGAAUAAGCACCGGCUAACUUCGUGCCAGCAGCCGCGGUAAUACGAAGGGUGCAAGCGUUAAUCGGAAUUACUGGGCGUAAAGCGCGCGUAGGUGGUUUUGUAAGUUGGAGGUGAAAUCCCCGGGCUCAACCUGGGAACUGCCUCCAAAAAUGCAUGACUAGAGUACGGUAGAGGGUAGUGGAAUUUCCUGUGUAGCGGUGAAAUGCGUAGAUAUAGGAAGGAACACCAGUGGCGAAGGCGACUACCUGGACUGAUACUGACACUGAGGUGCGAAAGCGUGGGGAGCAAACAGGAUUAGAUACCCUUGUAGUCC